ACGCCUACGGGGGGCAGCAGUAGGGAAUAUUGCUCAAUGGGGGAAACCCUGAAGCAGCAACGCCGCGUGGAGGAUGAAGGUUUUCGGAUUGUAAACUCCUUUUGUUAGAGAAGAUAAUGACGGUAUCUAACGAAGAAGCACCGGCUAACUCCGUGCCAGCAGCCGCGGAAAUACGGAGGGUGCAAGCGUUACUCGGAAUCACUGGGCGUAAAGAGCGCGUAGGCGGGAUAGCAAGUCAGAUGUGAAAACGUAUGGCGUAACCAUAGAAAUGCAUUUGAAACUGUUAUUCUAGAGUAUG
Molecule: ribosomal RNA, 298 nt
Filed under: uncultured bacterium
Lineage: Bacteria
Description: partial 16S ribosomal RNA
Rfam family: Bacterial small subunit ribosomal RNA
Source: RNAcentral